UCAAUGUCUUUCUCUUCCUUGUAAGGUCC
RNAcentral lists this non-coding RNA (29 nucleotides) under Mus musculus (house mouse). The record is from RNAcentral. Lineage: Eukaryota; Metazoa; Chordata; Mammalia; Rodentia; Muridae.